This is a long non-coding RNA of Tympanuchus pallidicinctus (lesser prairie-chicken), 2692 nucleotides long. RefSeq lists it as uncharacterized. The transcript has 3 exons. The record is from RefSeq and is a predicted model, not a curated record. NCBI's taxonomy places the organism in Eukaryota, Metazoa, Chordata, Aves, Galliformes, Phasianidae.
GCUCCACCCCUUCCUGCAGCACAUCUGAAUUGCCUUCACCUGUGCUCCUCUGGCUGACUCAUGGCUCGCCUCAGGUGAUCAAUCAGAGAUUCAGGCCGUGACUCAGCAGUUCCCAUACAGGCACUGUACAUAGGAAACCAUUUAAAAACCAAACCAGGGACACCUCAGCUCUUUAGCACCCGCAGUUACCUGUAGGGCAUUCAGGCAUUCCCCUGUGCUGUGCUCCUGCUUCCCCUCUCCUUUUUCCACACAGGUAGGUUCCUGACUGACCUGUCGCAUGGGAAUAAUGGUAAGCCUUAGUGAUUCACAGCUAGGAUGUGAGGAGCAUGCAGCUCUUUGCUCGCACUGUGAGGCAGUUAAUGCAAUUUGUGCUGUGUGGCUGAGCGAGCAGUUAAAACUGAAGCACGGAGCCAUCUGUUCCUCCAGCUGACAGCAGGCAUGGCGGGUAGCAGCUCGCUUCUGCUGGGAAGAAGCAUCUCACUGGCAUCAGGAAAAGGUCAGGAAAGUUUUGUUCUCCCACCUUUAUAACAAAUUCUUUUGGAUUUUCUUUUGGCACAGGCUCUGUGCUCCAGAGAUUUUUUUUUGGUCUGUGGUCAGUCUGUGGGAGGAAGGAAAUGGAAACGUGGCUGCAUUGACCAUCUUCUUUUUUCAUUUCCUACCUAGUUUUGGGGGAGACCCAUCAGAGUGACACAAAUGUUUUGCACUUCCCUUGCUUUGAUCAUCUUGCAAUGCUUCUUUAAUUGAGCCGAAGGCCACAAGAAGUAACUUCCCUUGAAAUCAGCUCUUAGAAGUCUUUUAAGAACUAUUUGCCAUUUUUCAUUCAUGGCAAUUACUAGAUUUCUGCUACAACAAAAAGCCAUUAUCUCAUUAGUAACAGGAAGACCAGGAAAAGGUCUGACCUGCUUCUCAGUGAAGAGGAAGAGCCUGUUACAGAUGAUAUUGAGGUACUGGGCAUCUGGUGCUUCUUCUCAUUUGUCCUCACUGAAAAAGAAUUACAGGGAACAGAUGACUUGUGCAGCUAACAUGAUCAGCAAAGGAAUAAGGUGAGCCUAAAAUAGAGAGAGAACAACCUGGGGAAGGCUUGAGACAACUGUUUUAAGAUGAGACAGGCCUGACUGUCUGCAGCUCUGCGUGCACAGAGAAUUGUCAAAAGCAAUCUCAGGAGUUCGGGUUGGAAUUUCUGAAAGCUGGUUGUGGACAGGCAAGGUACCAGCAGGCUGGGAAAAGUGGGAAGCAAAGCUUCUCUUUAAGAAGAGCAUGGAUUUGGGGGUGAAGCCAAGUUAGAGUUUUAUAACACAGUUCACAUCAGAUCAAAACUUCAAAAACUAUAUCAAAUGAAGCUCAUUUGUUUUUAGGAAUGAGUAGCCAGAGAACGUUGAUGUUCUCUAACUUGAUUUGCAGAUCUGUAAUGCUGUGGCACAAUAUUCCUAUUAGAAAAGCAAGGAAAGUACUUAAAGUCAUGAAGAAAAGAUUUGAUGGUAGACUACGUGGGUAAUAUACCUGGAGGGCAGCUGUCACAACUUUCUAUUAUAGGCUGUUCUCAAGCAAGUCUUUUAAUGGUUUUACAGAUAACUAGCGCUGGUCAAAGAAGCAUGUUUGUCUACUGUAGCAGAAAUGCUAGGUCACGGCUUAAAGUAGUGAUUGAGCACCUGGUAGGAAGGCAGGACCAAUUCAGGGGAGCUCAGGUGCAAGCAAUGUGCCUGAGUGACUGCACCUGGUGGAGUCAGGAUCCACUCCUUUCCAGACCUCAUUUAAGGGUUGGCAGUGGAAGCAAGGGUGUUGUGCUGGAGAUCCCUGCAUACCUGAGGUCUUCUAAGGGAAGAAAACCUGUUUCCUCAGAAUUCACUGUGCAACUGACUGGAAGAACGUGAUGGUCCUGGUGAACUGACUAGAAGAAUGUGAUGGUCCUGCUGACCCAUCCCAGAGACCUUCCUGUUUAGCUGUGGGAAGCCUGCAAAGGUUGUGCAGAAUUAGCACGAGUACUUUGUGCACACAGCUGCAGCUUUCAGCACGCGGGAGCCUCUGCAGCAGCUCCGCUUCCCCGAGAGGGGACUUCGCCAGAGGAAUGGCACUGGCAUGCAUUCAGAAGCCACACACCCACCCUCGCUUCCUACGCACGCUUUUGUACUGUCACCAUGCAUCAGCGUGGGAGCGCAGCUUUGCAGGUCAGAGCUGCUUAGACUCUGCUGAACGCGCCGCCUGAGUGCUUUUCUCUCGCUGUCCCCUGCUAGAAGAGUCUAUUUCCUUGAGCAAAAUGUAAGCCAUAUGGGAUAAUGCUUUUGGAAGCCUGGAAGUCAGAUCCUUUGAAUUUUUUGCUUUUCAAACUUAAUUUAUGCACAUAUGAAAGUAAAGCUUGUUUUCCUUUCUCUUCUUGUCUCUUUCCAAUCCAAACCAUAAAAAAAAAAUCUUUUCCAUUGAUGUUUGAAAAAUUAUUUUGAAAUUUAGAAAGAUAACCCCUGAAAAAUUGUUUUGACAAACAAUUUGAAAACAAGCCAUGAGCUUUAUUUUUUUUUCCCUCUAUCAGCUGUAUGAGGAAUAUGUCAAAAAUGUUGCUGUGUCUAGCAUAGUAUCAGCAGCAUGUGUUAGAACUGGCAAUAAAUCUUAUUUCUCCAGUGCCUGCCCAGUUCUUUAUUGAGAAAACGAUUCUUUCUCUUUGCAACUCAUUUGUUGCUGGGCAUGCCUUGGUUUCUAA